UCCCUGGUAGCUCAGUAGUAAAGAACCUGCCUGCAAUGCAGGAGCCCCAGGUUCAGUCCCUGGCUUGGGAA
RNAcentral lists this transfer RNA (71 nucleotides) under Bos taurus (domestic cattle). It matches the Rfam family "tRNA". Rfam says of the family: Transfer RNA (tRNA) molecules are approximately 80 nucleotides in length. Their secondary structure includes four short double-helical elements and three loops (D, anti-codon, and T loops). Further hydrogen bonds mediate the characteristic L-shaped molecular structure. tRNAs have two regions of fundamental functional importance: the anti-codon, which is responsible for specific mRNA codon recognition, and the 3' end, to which the tRNAs corresponding amino acid is attached (by aminoacyl-tRNA synthetases). tRNAs cope with the degeneracy of the genetic code in two manners: having more than one tRNA (with a specific anti-codon) for a particular amino acid; and 'wobble' base-pairing, i.e. permitting non-standard base-pairing at the 3rd anti-codon position. Lineage: Eukaryota; Metazoa; Chordata; Mammalia; Artiodactyla; Bovidae. The record is from Rfam by way of RNAcentral. RNAcentral also lists the same sequence under 2 other names.